RNAcentral lists this ribosomal RNA (155 nucleotides) under Cinnamomum burmanni. Its description in RNAcentral is "Cinnamomum burmannii 5.8S ribosomal RNA". It matches the Rfam family "5.8S ribosomal RNA". From Rfam's summary of the family: 5.8S ribosomal RNA (5.8S rRNA) is a component of the large subunit of the eukaryotic ribosome. It is transcribed by RNA polymerase I as part of the 45S precursor that also contains 18S and 28S rRNA. The record is from RNAcentral. Lineage: Eukaryota; Viridiplantae; Streptophyta; Magnoliopsida; Laurales; Lauraceae.
GACUCUCGGCAACGGAUAUCUCGGCUCUCGCAUCGAUGAAGAACGUAGCGAAAUGCGAUACUUGGUGUGAAUUGCAGAAUCCCGUGAACCAUCGAGUCUUUGAACGCAAGUUGCGCCCGAGGCCACUCGGCCGACGGCACGCCUGCCUGGGCGUC